This 472-nucleotide ribosomal RNA is filed under the name uncultured bacterium. RNAcentral describes it as "bacterial SSU rRNA". It matches the Rfam family "Bacterial small subunit ribosomal RNA", at positions 36 to 507 of the family's 1533-position model. The record is from RNAcentral.
CUGGCGGCGUGCUUAACACAUGCAAGUCGAACGAAGCAUUUAAGACAGAUUACUUCGGUUUGAAGUCUUUAUGACUGAGUGGCGGAUGGGCGAGUAACGCGUGGGUAACCUGCCUCAUACAGGGGGAUAGCAGCUGGAAACGGCUGGUAAUACCGCAUAAGCGCACGGUAUCACAUGAUACAGUGUGAAAAACUCCGGUGGUAUGAGAUGGACCCGCGUCUGAUUAGCUAGUUGGUGAGGUAACGGCCCACCAAGGCGACGAUCAGUAGCCGACCUGAGAGGGUGACCGGCCACAUUGGGACUGAGACACGGCCCAGACUCCUACGGGAGGCAGCAGUGGGGAAUAUUGCACAAUGGAGGAAACUCUGAUGCAGCGACGCCGCGUGAGUGAAGAAGUAGUUCGCUAUGUAAAGCUCUAUCAGCAGGGAAGAUAGUGACGGUACCUGACUAAGAAGCUCCGGCUAAAUACGUG